This 253-nucleotide ribosomal RNA is filed under the name uncultured bacterium. RNAcentral describes it as "partial 16S ribosomal RNA". It matches the Rfam family "Bacterial small subunit ribosomal RNA", at positions 524 to 776 of the family's 1533-position model. The record is from RNAcentral.
UACGGGGGGAGCAAGCGUUGUUCGGAUUUACUGGGCGUAAAGGGCGCGUAGGUGGUGAUGCAAGUCUGGUGUGAAAUCUCGGAGCUCAACUCCGAAAUUGCACCGGAUACUGCGUGACUCGAGGACUGUAGAGGAGAUCGGAAUUCACGGUGUAGCAGUGAAAUGCGUAGAUAUCGUGAGGAAGACCAGUUGCGAAGGCGGAUCUCUGGGCAGUUCCUGACACUGAGGCACGAAGGCCAGGGGAGCAAACGGG